Molecule: long non-coding RNA, 394 nt
Organism: Chinchilla lanigera (long-tailed chinchilla)
Lineage: Eukaryota; Metazoa; Chordata; Mammalia; Rodentia; Chinchillidae
Exons: 3
Source: RefSeq, a predicted model, not a curated record
UUGGCGGCGUGUCGCCCUGACAUUUUCUCUUUGCAGCGCUCCCCGCAGGACCAAGAGUUGUCUAACUACAGCCUGGAAAAAAUGCAAAACAGACAAAUGCACCCUCCGUGGACAGCGGGAGAAAGCUAAUAGACCAGUCCCCGGCUCCCCACCCGCAGAGGUGGUUUAGCCCUCACCUCAGCUGCUCCAAGACCUGCUCGGAGGCCUGACCUACACCACCGUGUGUCUUCUUCGCCUGAGCCUGGUCAGGAUUCCAGCGAGGGGAAGAUCCAGCCACAGACCUGAAGGGAAAGGAGCGAGUCAAGACACCAGCUGAGAAAUUCAUGCUAAUUUGGAACUACCCAGAAAUGUCAUCUUAACAUGCUUUCUCUUUAUAAUUAAAGUUUAAAUGAUA